CCUACGGGAGGCAGCAGUGAGGAAUAUUGGUCAAUGGGAGAGAUCCUGAACCAGCCAAGCCGCGUGAGGGAAGACGGCCCUAUGGGUUGUAAACCUCUUUUGUCGGAGAACAAAACCCGGGACGUGUCCCGGACUGCGUGUAUCCGAAGAAAAAGCAUCGGCUAACUCCGUGCCAGCCGCCGCGGUAAUACGGAGGAUGCGAGCGUUAUCCGGAUUUAUUGGGUUUAAAGGGUGCGUAGGCGGUCCGUUAAGUCAGCGGUAAAAUUGCGGGGCUCAACCCCGUCGAGCCGUUGAAACUGGCAGACUUGAGUUGGCGAGAGGGACGCGGAAUGCGAGGUGUAGCGGUGAAAUGCAUAGAGAUCGCGCAGAACUCCGAUUGCGAAGGCAGCGUACCGGCGCUCAACUGACGCUCAUGCACGAAAGUGUGGGUAUCGAACAGGAUUAGAUACCCGUGUAGUC
RNAcentral lists this ribosomal RNA (459 nucleotides) under uncultured bacterium. RNAcentral's name for it is "partial 16S ribosomal RNA". It matches the Rfam family "Bacterial small subunit ribosomal RNA", at positions 338 to 795 of the family's 1533-position model. The record is from RNAcentral.